GCUCAGUCCUUCCUGUUCAGACCCAGAAGAGGUUCUGGCCAACAGACCAGGGACCCCAGGUUUAAGCCUUCUGAAACACUUUCUUGCGGAAGGGCGAAAAAUUGCUGAAUUGAUCUUUUCAAAUUAACAUGGGAUCCAAAUGAAACAAAUUUGGAAGAAGAGAACUUUCUCCUCCAAGUGGCUGCCAGCACCCAGCCCCACCCCCGCCAGCUGAAGUGUCCCUUGUUCUUGCCUGCUGUGCCCCAGAUUCAUGGGCCACUCUCCGAAUCGUUGGCAAUGUUCUCUGCACUGUCCUGACAACCUCAGGCCAUGAAAUUAAAAAGCUAGUUACUGCA
This is a long non-coding RNA of Suricata suricatta (meerkat), 335 nucleotides long. RefSeq lists it as uncharacterized. NCBI's taxonomy places the organism in Eukaryota, Metazoa, Chordata, Mammalia, Carnivora, Herpestidae. The record is from RefSeq and is a predicted model, not a curated record. The transcript is spliced from 2 exons.